Oncorhynchus masou masou (cherry salmon) is the source of this 165-nucleotide long non-coding RNA. RefSeq lists it as uncharacterized. Lineage: Eukaryota; Metazoa; Chordata; Actinopteri; Salmoniformes; Salmonidae. The record is from RefSeq and is a predicted model, not a curated record. The transcript has 3 exons.
AGCUGUUCAGUGGGCCGGUUAUGAUGUGUAAGCUUUGUCUGUUUUCACUGUGAGUGUCUGACUGUGUUCCUCUGUGUUGACACAGGUAAAAAGCUCAGCUGUUGGAAGGGUCAUGCAAAGCCUGUGAACACCGCUGAACCUUGAAACAAGACAUUGACCAGAGAC